CCUACGGGAGGCUGCAGUGGGGAAUAUUGGACAAUGGGGGCAACCCUGAUCCAGCCAUGCCGCGUGUGUGAAGAAGGCCCUCGGGUUGUAAAGCACUUUCAGUGAGGAAUAACGCCUGGUGGUUAAUACCCAUCAGGAAAGACAUCACUCACAGAAGAAGCACCGGCUAACUCCGUACCAGCAGCCGCGGUAAUACGGAGGGUGCGAGCGUUAAUCGGAAUUACUGGGCGUAAAGCGCGCGUAGGUGGCUUGAUAAGCCGGUUGUGAAAGCCCCGGGCUCAACCUGGGAACGGCAUCCGGAACUGUCAAGCUAGAGUGCAGGAGAGGAAGGUAGAAUUCCCGGUGUAGCGGUGAAAUGCGUAGAGAUCGGGAGGAAUACCAGUGGCGAAGGCGGCCUUCUGGACUGACACUGACACUGAGGUGCGAAAGCGUGGGUAGCAAACAGGAUUAGAUACCCGUGUAGUC
This 465-nucleotide ribosomal RNA is filed under the name Vreelandella stevensii. Its description in RNAcentral is "partial 16S ribosomal RNA". It matches the Rfam family "Bacterial small subunit ribosomal RNA", at positions 338 to 795 of the family's 1533-position model. The record is from RNAcentral. Lineage: Bacteria; Pseudomonadati; Pseudomonadota; Gammaproteobacteria; Oceanospirillales; Halomonadaceae.